Molecule: non-coding RNA, 100 nt
Organism: Cadophora sp. MPI-SDFR-AT-0126
Lineage: Eukaryota; Fungi; Ascomycota; Leotiomycetes; Helotiales; Ploettnerulaceae
Source: the annotation of a GenBank genome assembly
AGUGGGUUGGUCUAGUGGUAAGACAUCUCUCUCACACGCAUCACCCUCUAGAGGGGAAGCAGAGCAGAGAAAGUCGAGGGUUCGAUCCCCUCACUCACUA